GGGUCUGUCUGUUUUUGGACUACAACUCCCAUCAUCCCUGACCACUGGGUAACUAGGGAUGAUGGGAGUUGUAGUCCAAAAACAGCUGGGGACCC
RNAcentral lists this microRNA precursor (95 nucleotides) under Podarcis lilfordi (Lilford's wall lizard). Lineage: Eukaryota; Metazoa; Chordata; Lepidosauria; Squamata; Lacertidae. The record is from RNAcentral.